GCCUGCACGAUGGUUGUUUUACUAAAUCUGCAAUGUUUAACUUUUGAAGCACAUUUAGGGUCCAUUUGGAAUGUAGGGGAGAAAAGAAACGAAAUGAUUAGUGUUUCUCACCAAAGCUCACCACUUUUGGUGAGAAAUGGAAUGGGGCUUUUAUGUGUAUCAUUGCUCUUCAUAACUUCAUUUCUCACAAAACAAACAAGUGAGGGUUUCUUAUCCAUCCAUUCCUCAUCAUUUCUCACCAAAUCUCUCAAGCCAAAUGGGAUUUCUUUUCGCUUGUGUUCCCCUCACCCCCGUCCCGAAGUAUUCAGAAAGUGCAAACUUGGAUUCUUCUGUUGAUAGAUAUCUUUUGUUUUCCCUCCUUGGUGGGUAAAAAUGCAUGGCUAUGGUUGCUUCAUGAAUAAUUUGCUUUGGCACCAGAGGGAACGCUGAUUGUGUAAUACCAUCAUAUUUGCGAAGUGUUGGCCAAUAUGUGGUCAUCCUCCUUAGAGUUGAAAUUCGGGAUUUGAGGUACCACAAGUCAAAUUCUAUAUCAUUUGGUGUUUCUUUUGUCUGUGGCCCUUUCUUGUAAAUAUGUUAUUGCCUAGGCGGAUAAGUACUUAGUUUUUAGCCCCAAGUGACUUGUAGCCAAUGUUCUAAAAGUAGCUAGGCAAGCCAAUUAAUCGGCAACUAGAGAUUAGUCAGUUUUUCUUCUUUUUUUUUUCUUUCUUUCUAAUUUUUUAAAACUAUUCUUCUGAGUAAGUAGGCUUAUCCAAGUUGAACAAUACAUUAAACAACAUCCAUAUAAUUUCACAAGAAACAGAGUCUUGUACACAUAAAUUUACUUUAUUCUGUAUAGUGUAGAUGCAUACAUUAAUAACGAUUUAGGUUUAGAUAUACGUCAUUUAUAUGGUAUUGUAGACGUAUAUAUUAGAUCUAAACUACACUACAACCCCUAUAGUAUAUUACUACAACAUUAACCCCUUUGAUUUGCAAAAUUACAUAUUUAACUCACAAUUAAUCAUGCCUAGCCGCCUAAUUCUCCAAUUAAUCCUGCCUAGCUGCCUAAUUCUCCUUUUAAUCCCACCUAAUCCUGCCCAGCCGUCGCCUAGCGGAUCACCACCUAGC
This is a long non-coding RNA of Rhododendron vialii, 1104 nucleotides long. RefSeq lists it as uncharacterized. NCBI's taxonomy places the organism in Eukaryota, Viridiplantae, Streptophyta, Magnoliopsida, Ericales, Ericaceae. The transcript is spliced from 2 exons. The record is from RefSeq and is a predicted model, not a curated record.